GAUGAACGCUGGCGGCGUGCCUAAUACAUGCAAGUCGAGCGAACAGACGAGGAGCCUGCUCCUCUGACGUUAGCGGCGGACGGGUGAGUAACUCGUGGAUAACCUACCUAUAAGACUGGGAUAACUUCGGGAAACCGGAGCUAAUACCGGAUAAUAUAUUGAACCGCAUGGUUCAAUAGUGAAAGACGGUUUUGCUGUCACUUAUAGAUGGAUCCGCGCCGCAUUAGCUAGUUGGUAAGGUAACGGCUUACCAAGGCGACGAUGCGUAGCCGACCUGAGAGGGUGAUCGGCCACACUGGAACUGAGACACGGUCCAGACUCCUACGGGAGGCAGCAGUAGGGAAUCUUCCGCAAUGGGCGAAAGCCUGACGGAGCAACGCCGCGUGAGUGAUGAAGGUCUUCGGAUCGUAAAACUCUGUUAUUAGGGAAGAACAAAUGUGUAAGUAACUAUGCACGUCUUGACGGUACCUAAUCAGAAAGCCACGGCUAACUACGUG
RNAcentral lists this ribosomal RNA (497 nucleotides) under uncultured bacterium. Its description in RNAcentral is "partial 16S ribosomal RNA". It matches the Rfam family "Bacterial small subunit ribosomal RNA", at positions 28 to 507 of the family's 1533-position model. The record is from RNAcentral.